GUGCGGUGCUGGAGAAGAGACCUCCAGAGUCAACAACAAUGAACUUUAUUGGACAACCUCUCAAAGUCGACCUAUAUGAGAAGAAGUUGGAAGCAGUAGUGGGUGGCCGGUCCAAAAAGACGGGGAGGCGUCUGCACGUCAGUUGGAGACUUUUUGUCUAGGGCGGGUUUCUCGCCACUACUGUAAACGGUCGGCGUCGUCCGACUUUAGAACGGCGUUCGGUGUCGGUGGCCCUUUUACGAGGUUUCUUCCGACGCAACCUCCAGCUUUUGAACAGUUGACCGCGAACCGACACCCGCAUCCGUUUUUUUACACAACACAACCUGAGCAAAAAGUUUGCAGAGAGUCUUACACGUUACGAAAGCGAAAUAUGUUGGUCCGAGCUACUUGUGCCCUGAAAUCCUCGGAUAAUAAGCAAAUACACCACGCAUGGAAAAGUUGAAUCUGCGUCUAUUCGAACGCACUUUGGUUAGACAUUUCCCGGGCGAGAUUCGGAGCAGGCCCAGAUGCGUCCAGUGCUGACAUCCUGAAGCAGCUGUUGAACAGCAUGGAGAACACGCGGACUUGUUGCGUGGGCUUGAUUGGGACUACCAGCUGCAGCGGUGCUCGCCACGAUACCAACCUGGCGCACGAUAUGCUGCAGUCGCACAUAGCGCCUCGCAGGGCAUGCAUCGCGUAUAGGGAGCUGGAGCGUCGCAGCGCUUUCCAGAGAGGCCUCCGGUGGAAGCGCUCGCGCCUGCAGAAAGCGCCGAAUCUUUCGUGCACGGGAGAGGAUGGCGUCGGGCAUCCCGUUCGCGCGGGCACAGGCCAGCGCGUAGGAGUCCAAGCAGGGCGCCCCUUCAGACAACUUGUACAGCGCGGUCAAGACCACGUCGUCGUUCUGAUCUGGAGCAUCACCGGUCUGGCGGUUUUCCUGCACGAGCACUUCAAGUUUGAAGAAGCGCAGCCGCGAGUUCGCGUGAGCUUGCGCGUAGAGUGUCCCGGUCACCUCAUGGAAAUGGGUCGCAAAUAGCACCGUCAUUUGCCCCGUGACGUUGGUUGCCAACUCUGAAAGCACCGCUGCCGCAAGUGCCCUUCCGUCUUCAUCGGAAGUGCCUUUGCCGAAUUCGUCAACAAUAGCGAGCGACCUGGAAGUGGCGUACCUGAGCGUCUGCGCCAUUUGGAUGCAAUCGUUCAUGAAUGUUGAUGUCUCGCGGCCGGUGGAAUCGAAACUCUUCACUCGGGCAAAUAUCCGGUCGGUCACGCCGAUUCGGGCGCUACGCGCCGGCACGUAGGAGCCAACCUGUGCCAUGUGUACAAUCAACGCAACUUGGCGCAGAAGCACGCUCUUGCCGCUUGCGUUUGGCCCUGUGACGACACAGACAUCCCCGCGCCUAACAGAGAGACUGUUAGGAACGAAAGAGUCCACGGUGAGCUCUUGAAUCGGGUGGCGAGCGUCGAUUACGUCGAUGUGACAGGCUGAUUCUGCCCCGAGGACUUGUGGACAAGUCCACUCAUAGCGCAUCGCAGAGAGGGCGAAGCUGAGCCAACAGUCGAUCUCUGCCAGCAAGUCGCAUGUGCGACUAAGCACUGGUAUCGUGGGUAUCACGGCGGCCUCGAGAUCUCGAAUGAUGCUCUUCUCGAGGUCGUUGAUGGCCCCGGGCAGAUCACCGAGCUCCUCAUCGAGCUGACGCGUUCUGUCGUUCUUCACAUAUGCAUCAGUAUCGGUGUCGAGCGCGUGCUCCAGAGAGGCAUCGGAUUCCAUCUGGGCAGCGUCUGAGCGGGAGAUCUUCAUCACAUAGCCGAGGCGCGGAUGAAACUGUACACAGAUCGACCGCUCCGUGGCGGACGACCCAAAAUACCUGCUCUUCUCCGAUUGAGCCACGCUCUCGAGAAAACUGUCCAGAGAUUCAAGGGCUAAUCUCAUAUUAUCAAGGUUUUCAUCAAAGCCGGUCUUGACGGCUGGAUUCCAGCCCGACUUGGAUCCACUCAUGUCGAUACAUGCCCCGAUUCGUGUCGCGACGCUUGUGUACCAUUCCGGGUCGAGCACGGGUGUCAACUCUUGCGCAUUUUCUUGCAGAAAAGCGCUUCUCUCGCGCCAAACAGGCAACACGAUUUGAACCAAGUCGGAGAAUCCAUUAAAGAGCCCCGCGACUGCCACGUUGCAUCCGUGGAGCGCUGCCCAGUCUUCCGCAGUCGCUGCGCCCGAAACCAAGCGCCUCCAAAGAUUUUGUGGAUGAUGCACAGCUUUCAGGAGCUUUCUGAACAAUAUCAUGUCGAUGCUGGCCAAGGCGCCGGCCAGGGCCUGAACCACUUCGAGACGCUCUCGAAUGCGCGCAGGGUCACAGAUUGGCUGCGUUAGAAUCUCGCGGAUUUUUCUCUGUCCGGGCGCCGAGGCCCCGAAGCUGCUAAUGAUCUGGUAAAGCGUGAGCCCGUGUUGAUGGACUCGAGCGCCUGACCUAGGCGCGGAAACCUUGGCCGGUAGGACCCUCAGUUCUCGCAGAAGACUCAUCGGCGAUAUAGCUAAUUGCUCCAUAUAAAAGGGC
Molecule: RNA transcript, 2525 nt
Organism: Cyanidioschyzon merolae strain 10D
Lineage: Eukaryota; Rhodophyta; Bangiophyceae; Cyanidiales; Cyanidiaceae
Exons: 1
Source: RefSeq, a predicted model, not a curated record